UUAUUUCGAAUGAUUCAACUAUCUCAAUUGAUAGUAUAGUAAGAAGGUCAAAUAUAGGGUAACAACUUGUAAUCCUAUUGAACUGACUUUUUGCAGUUUUCUUUUUAUUGUUUUUAAUGAAAAAUAGUCAAAUUUUCAUUUUUAAUAUCAAAUUUUCGUUUUUUUUAAAUUAAGCAUUUUAAAAAAUUAUUUUAUUUAUUUUAUGCAUUUUUAGUCCAAGAAGAGUAAAAAAAAG
RNAcentral lists this long non-coding RNA (235 nucleotides) under Lathyrus oleraceus (garden pea). RNAcentral's name for it is "Pisum sativum (pea) long non-coding RNA (PSAT_LNC032426)". Lineage: Eukaryota; Viridiplantae; Streptophyta; Magnoliopsida; Fabales; Fabaceae. The record is from RNAcentral.